Molecule: ribosomal RNA, 490 nt
Filed under: uncultured bacterium
Lineage: Bacteria
Description: partial 16S ribosomal RNA
Rfam family: Bacterial small subunit ribosomal RNA
Source: RNAcentral
GAUGAACGCUAGCUACAGGCUUAACACAUGCAAGUCGCGGGGCAGCAUGGGGGUUGCUUGCAAUCCCCGAUGGCGACCGGCGCACGGGUGAGUAACGCGUAUCCAACCUGCCCUUCACCACGGGAUAACCCGGCGAAAGUCGGACUAAUACCGUAUGUUGUCCAUUGACGGCAUCCGAUUUGGACGAAAGGCUUGGCGGUGAGGGGUGGGGAUGCGUCCGAUUAGCCAGACGGCGGGGUAACGGCCCACCGUGGCUACGAUCGGGAGGGGUUCUGAGAGGAAGGUCCCCCACACUGGAACUGAGACACGGUCCAGACUCCUACGGGAGGCAGCAGUGAGGAAUAUUGGUCAAUGGGCGUAAGCCUGAACCAGCCAAGUAGCGUGCAGGAUGACGGCCCUAUGGGUUGUAAACUGCUUUUAUGCGGGGAUAAAGUGGCCCACGUGUGGGCUUUUGCAGGUACCGCACGAAUAAGGACCGGCUAAUUCCGUG